This 774-nucleotide ribosomal RNA is filed under the name uncultured Neocallimastigales. Its description in RNAcentral is "partial large subunit ribosomal RNA". It matches the Rfam family "Eukaryotic large subunit ribosomal RNA", at positions 23 to 647 of the family's 3401-position model. Lineage: Eukaryota; Fungi; Neocallimastigomycota; Neocallimastigomycetes; Neocallimastigales. The record is from RNAcentral.
AGAGAUGUGUGAUGACGCAUAUCAAUAAGCGGAGGAAAAGAAACUAACAAGGAUUCCCCUAGUAACGGCGAGUGAAGCGGGAAGAGCUCAAAUUUGAAAUCUUCAAGGUUUUACCUUGACGAAUUGUAGUUUAAAGAAGUGUUUUCUGUUGAAGUUUUGGUAAAAGUUCUUUGGAAUAGGACAUCAUAGAGGGUGAGAAUCCCGUAUUUGACCAUUUCUUCCAGCUGUGUGAUACACUUUCAAAGAGUCGGAUUGUUUGGGAAUGCAGUCCAAAAUGGGUGGUAAAUUUCAUCUAAAGCUAAAUAUUGGCGAGAGACCGAUAGCGAACAAGUACCGUGAGGGAAAGAUGAAAAGAACUUUGAAAAGAGAGUUAAACAGUACGUGAAAUUGCCAAAAGGGAAGCGUUUGACACCAGUGUUGUUUUUCCGAAAAUCAAUUACGAAUGUUUUGUUCUUAAGAAGUUAUGACUUCAUCGGCUUGCUUCUUUCUUUACGAAACUUUCUUAAUGCACUUUUCGGUUAACAAGUCAACAUCAAUUUCUUUUGUUGUAAAAGGGUAUGAGGAAGGUGGCUUUCUUUUCGGAGAAAGUGUUUAUAGCCUUGUGCCUCUGCAAUCGGAGAGAUUGAGGUCUGCAGCGUAGAUCCUUCGGGGUUAGAUACAUUUGUGCUAAGCUAUAGCUUUUCAUAGACAACUUGUUGACUAUGUUAAGUCUUGUAGCUUACUCGCUUAUGCUAUUUUACCUACGCUUAGGAUGUUGACGCAUGAGAUAUACGC